Molecule: transfer RNA, 73 nt
Filed under: Camelus bactrianus (Bactrian camel)
Lineage: Eukaryota; Metazoa; Chordata; Mammalia; Artiodactyla; Camelidae
Also listed under: 2 other names
Rfam family: tRNA
About the family: Transfer RNA (tRNA) molecules are approximately 80 nucleotides in length. Their secondary structure includes four short double-helical elements and three loops (D, anti-codon, and T loops). Further hydrogen bonds mediate the characteristic L-shaped molecular structure. tRNAs have two regions of fundamental functional importance: the anti-codon, which is responsible for specific mRNA codon recognition, and the 3' end, to which the tRNAs corresponding amino acid is attached (by aminoacyl-tRNA synthetases). tRNAs cope with the degeneracy of the genetic code in two manners: having more than one tRNA (with a specific anti-codon) for a particular amino acid; and 'wobble' base-pairing, i.e. permitting non-standard base-pairing at the 3rd anti-codon position.
Source: Rfam by way of RNAcentral
GAGGGUAUAGCUCAGUGGCAGAGUGUGUGUUUAACAUGCACCAGGGUCUUGGGUUCAAUCCCUAGUCCCUCCA